UACGUAGGUGGCAAGCGUUGUCCGGAUUUACUGGGCGGAAAGAGCGCGCAGGCGGUUGAUUACGUCGAAUGUGAAAGCCCCCGGCUCAACUGGGGAGGGUCAUUCGAUACUGAUCGACUUGAAGGCAGGAGAGGGUAGUGGAAUUCCCGGUGUAGUGGUGAAAUGCGUAGAUAUCGGGAGGAACACCAGUGGCGAAGGCGACUACCUGGCCUGUUCUUGACGCUGAGGCGCGAAAGCUGGGGGAGCAAACGGG
RNAcentral lists this ribosomal RNA (253 nucleotides) under uncultured bacterium. Its description in RNAcentral is "partial 16S ribosomal RNA". It matches the Rfam family "Bacterial small subunit ribosomal RNA", at positions 524 to 776 of the family's 1533-position model. The record is from RNAcentral.